Molecule: long non-coding RNA, 1168 nt
Filed under: Coturnix japonica (Japanese quail)
Lineage: Eukaryota; Metazoa; Chordata; Aves; Galliformes; Phasianidae
Description: lncRNA (ENSCJPG00005016832.1)
Source: RNAcentral
AUGUAUGAUUCUAUGAUUCUGUGGUCAGGCUCUCUGAUCGUAAGUUCAUCACUGAAAAACUGCAUCACUGCAUCAUUGAAACUUGCGGCCUAUCUGCAACUGAUCUAUUCCCCUUUUGGGAUCCCCAUGGGCAAAUGGAAGAGGGAGGAAUGGCCAGCUUACCACUAGAGUUUUUGUCAGCUGCCAACUAGCAAUGCCAGUAAGUGAUCUAUUUUUGCCAUUUAUUCAGAAAGACCUGAUGGUCUCCAUGAGUCUGGCACUAUCUUGCAUGUCAGGAGUCAGUGUACACAGAAGCAUUGACCAGUCUGCUCCCCAGGGAUUUACUGUGCGAGUAAUAGUGGGUUAAUUUCUCUGGAAAUUUCUGAAAGAGAUGAUUGUGUAUCAAUAAGUUGUUCCAGAUGACAAAAAUGAAGUGUUGGAAAAGCCUCGAGGGGCUCGUACAGCCAUGUCAAGGAGAUGCUUUUCCUCUGCUCUUAAAGGUGACUUGCAAUAUUAAAAAAGCCUUUGGCCUUUACUGCUAGUUUUAUGAAGACAAAGACCUGAAAGCUAUCCAUACCAGGUUGUGAUUUUCAUUAAUUUAGGAACAUCUACUGCUUUGUUUCUCUGUUUUACUGUGAAGUACAGGGGCAUGUAGCACAUGUAACACGUGCUUUCUUAGCCUUUAAUUGAAACUGAAAGUGGUGGGCUAGAGGUUGGGUAGUUUUUAUGCCCUUGAGCUCCCUCUGUAGCUAUUGCUAAGACGUUUGAGUUACAUAUGUGUAAACCAAAUUUAAGGAUUAGAUUAAUAGCUUUUGCUGUGAUUUAAUUAAGUUGAUGCAACCCCAGUUUGGUUUUGUUAGAUCAGCACAAAAAAACCAGGCGUAGACAAGCCCAGAGUAUUUUAGGGAACUCAGUGAAAACUUUCUUUCACAUUUUACUACUCUUUUAUUUCUUUGGUUCUUCUGGAACUAUAUCCUCACACAGAAGAUACCUGGAAACAAACCAGUGUGGAAAUCAGUACUGAAACCUUGUUACAAAUUGAGAGAUCCUGCUAAUGUGGCCUUUAUUUUUCCCUAACAUCACACAAGUGAAAAGGACAGAAAAUGAAAGCUGUAAUUCUGUGACUUAGUUUUAUCCUUAACAGGAAAGGAGUGAAACUGCUUCAGCGUGGGUAGCAAAAAAUGCCUGU